GAUGAAGAACGCAGCGAAAUGCGAUAAGUAAUGUGAAUUGCAGAACUCAGUGAAUCAUCGAAUCUUUGAACGCACAUUGCGCCCCCUGGCCUUCCGGGGGGCAUGCCUGUCCGAGCGUCAUUGCUGCCCUCAAGCACGGCUUGUGUGUUGGGCCUCCGUCCUCCUCCCGGGGGACGGGCCCGAAAGGCAGCGGCGGCACCGCGUCCGGUCCUCGAGCGUAUGGGGCUUCGUCACCCGCUCUUGUAGGCCCGGCCGGCGCUUGCCGACACAUCAAUCUUUUUUCCAGGUUGACCUCGGAUCAGGUAGGGAUACCCGCUGAACUUAAGCAUAUCAAUAAGCGGAGGA
Molecule: unclassified non-coding RNA, 345 nt
Filed under: soil metagenome
Description: partial contains 5.8S ribosomal RNA, internal transcribed spacer 2, and large subunit ribosomal RNA
Rfam family: 5.8S ribosomal RNA (bases 1-120)
Source: RNAcentral